GAACGGUUAGCUCUGUUGGUAAGAGCGCUCGGACUGAACCCGAGAGGUCGCGGGUUCGAGUCCCGCGUCGUUCA
Leptidea sinapis is the source of this 74-nucleotide non-coding RNA. Lineage: Eukaryota; Metazoa; Arthropoda; Insecta; Lepidoptera; Pieridae. The record is from the annotation of a RefSeq genome assembly.